Molecule: ribosomal RNA, 517 nt
Filed under: uncultured bacterium
Lineage: Bacteria
Description: bacterial SSU rRNA
Rfam family: Bacterial small subunit ribosomal RNA
Source: RNAcentral
AACGACGCUGGCGGCGUGGAUAAGACAUGCAAGUCGGACGCUUGUAUUUUGUAGCAAUAUGAGGAUACGGGAGUGGCGAAAGGGUGCGUAACACGUGGGUAAUUUGUCUGAGAGUUCAGGAUAAUUCGCUGAAAGGCGGAGUAAUACUGGAUGUGGAUAUGGUUGGGAACAGCUGAUAUCUAAAGCCGGGGACCGCAAGGCCUGGUGCUCUUAGGUAAGCCCGCGACCUAUCAGCUAGUUGGUGAGGUAAGAGCCCACCAAGGCGGAGACGGGUAGCUGGUCUGAGAGGACGACCAGCCACACUGGAACUGAGACACGGUCCAGACACCUACGGGUGGCAGCAGUCGAGAAUUUUUCUCAAUGGGGGGAAACCCUGAAGGAGCGACGCCGCGUGGGGGAUGAAGGGCUUCGGCUCCGUAAACCCCUGUCAUUUGUGAGCAAGUGUUAUUGUUUAAGAGAUGAUGACAUUGAUAGUAGCAAAAGAGGAAGGGACGGCUAACUCUGUGCCAGCAGCUGC